This 592-nucleotide ribosomal RNA is filed under the name Hanseniaspora vineae. Its description in RNAcentral is "eukaryotic LSU rRNA". It matches the Rfam family "Eukaryotic large subunit ribosomal RNA", at positions 1 to 677 of the family's 3401-position model. Lineage: Eukaryota; Fungi; Ascomycota; Saccharomycetes; Saccharomycodales; Saccharomycodaceae. The record is from RNAcentral.
GCACCUUAUACAUUGCGUGCUCCGCAGUGCAGCGGCACCGAUCAAUUUGAAAUCUGGCACUUUCAGUGUCCGAGUUGUAAUUUGUAGAAGUAGUUUUGGGGCUGGUCCUUGUCUAUGUUCCUUGGAACAGGACGUCAUAGAGGGUGAGAAUCCCGUGUGGCGAGGAUCCCAGUUCUUUGUAAAACGCUUUCGAAGAGUCGAGUUGUUUGGGAAUGCAGCUCUAAGUGGGUGGUAAAUUCCAUCUAAAGCUAAAUAUUGGCGAGAGACCGAUAGCGAACAAGUACAGUGAUGGAAAGAUGAAAAGAACUUUGAAAAGAGAGUGAAAAAGUACGUGAAAUUGUUGAAAGGGAAGGGCAUUUGAUCAGACAUGGUGUUUGGACGCCCUGCGCUCCUUGUGGGUGCAGGACACGCUUUUCACUGGGCCAACAUCGGUUUUGGCAGCAGGAUAAAUCGCUAGGAACGUAGCUGCCCUCGGGUAGUGUUACAGCCUGGCGGAAUACUGCUAGCCGGGACUGAGGACUGCGUCUUUUGACAAGGAUGUUGGCAUAAUGGUUAAAUGCCGCCUGUCUUGAAACACGGACCUGGAUAUGCA